GCUGGUUAGCUAAGUUGGCAGAGCGCUCCCCUUGAAAUUGAGAGGUUCCUGGUUCGAUACCAGGACCAGGCA
RNAcentral lists this transfer RNA (72 nucleotides) under Ixodes scapularis (black-legged tick). Its description in RNAcentral is "tRNA-Ser for anticodon UGA". It matches the Rfam family "tRNA". Rfam says of the family: Transfer RNA (tRNA) molecules are approximately 80 nucleotides in length. Their secondary structure includes four short double-helical elements and three loops (D, anti-codon, and T loops). Further hydrogen bonds mediate the characteristic L-shaped molecular structure. tRNAs have two regions of fundamental functional importance: the anti-codon, which is responsible for specific mRNA codon recognition, and the 3' end, to which the tRNAs corresponding amino acid is attached (by aminoacyl-tRNA synthetases). tRNAs cope with the degeneracy of the genetic code in two manners: having more than one tRNA (with a specific anti-codon) for a particular amino acid; and 'wobble' base-pairing, i.e. permitting non-standard base-pairing at the 3rd anti-codon position. Lineage: Eukaryota; Metazoa; Arthropoda; Arachnida; Ixodida; Ixodidae. The record is from RNAcentral.